GCGUCUGUAGUCCAACGGUUAGG
This 23-nucleotide non-coding RNA is filed under the name Arabidopsis thaliana (thale cress). The record is from RNAcentral. RNAcentral also lists the same sequence under 1 other name. Lineage: Eukaryota; Viridiplantae; Streptophyta; Magnoliopsida; Brassicales; Brassicaceae.